This is a long non-coding RNA of Clupea harengus (Atlantic herring), 629 nucleotides long. RefSeq lists it as uncharacterized. Lineage: Eukaryota; Metazoa; Chordata; Actinopteri; Clupeiformes; Clupeidae. The record is from RefSeq and is a predicted model, not a curated record. The transcript is spliced from 4 exons.
UUUUGGGAACCUCUUUUGGCCAGUAGUGAAGACUGUGAGAAUCAAAGUGCCAGAUCACAAAAAGCUUUUACAGAACAUCGUGCUGGUUGAUCUUCCUGGAAAUGGAGACUGUAAUCAGACCAGAGACGAGAUGUGGAAAUCAAUGUUAAGGAAGUGCACAGAUGUUUGGGUUGUGAGUAAUAUCAAUCGAGCCGUAUCUGACAAGGCAGCCUGGGAGAUCCUGAAGAGCAGCAUGACAGAUAUGGUGCAGGGAGGGGCAUGCACUGGCAUCACUUUCAUCUGCACCAAAACUGAUGUUAUGAAUCCUGAGGAAUACAUGAGAUCACAAAAACUGAAGGAUACAGAUCUAAAAAUCACAGCGGACAAUGUAAGUGAAAACAGGAUACAAACCGACACCGCUUCAUUAGAUGGAUAGAUCUAUGUCAGAUGAUAUACAAACUGAAUUAUUAUUCUCCCUAUUUCCCAGGUGUCAGAGAGAAAACGUGGAUGUAUACUGCACAGGAAUAACAUGGCCAAGAAUGGAGUGAAACAAGCCUUUCAAAAACAGUGUCAACUCCAGAAAUAUUACAUCAGAAGCAUUUCAGUGUUUACUGUAAGUUCACGGGAGUUCUGCUCAAAGAAGCCAUAUC